AUUGAACGCUGGCGGCAGGCCUAACACAUGCAAGUCGGGCGGAUGAAGGGAGCUUGCUCCUGGAUUCAGCGGCGGACGGGUGAGUAAUGCCUAGGAAUCUGCCUGGUAGUGGGGGAUAACGUCCGGAAACGGGCGCUAUACCGCAUACGUCCUGCGGGAGAAAGUGGGGGAUCUUCGGACCUCACGCUAUCAGAUGAGCCUAGGUCGGAUUAGCUAGUUGGUGGGGUAAAGGCCUACCAAGGCGACGAUCCGUAACUGGUCUGAGAGGAUGAUCAGUCACACUGGAACUGAGACACGGUCCAGACUCCUACGGGAGGCAGCAGUGGGGAAUAUUGGACAAUGGGCGAAAGCCUGAUCCAGCCAUGCCGCGUGUGUGAAGAAGGUCUUCGGAUGGUAAAGCACUUUAAGUUGGGAGGAAGGGCAGUAAGUUAAUACCUUGCUGUUUUGACGUUACCAUCAGAAUAAGCACCGGCUAACUUCGUG
This 483-nucleotide ribosomal RNA is filed under the name uncultured bacterium. RNAcentral describes it as "partial 16S ribosomal RNA". It matches the Rfam family "Bacterial small subunit ribosomal RNA", at positions 30 to 507 of the family's 1533-position model. The record is from RNAcentral.